AAUACACUAAAAUAAAGAGCUUUUGUUCUGAUAAAAGUAGCCAGACAAAGACAGAGAAGAGACUUUGGAACAGACAGAAAGGGAGCCUGGAGAGAUGCAAGUUGAUCCUCAGACUCAGAAGGGGUAUGUGGCAUAAACUAAAGCCUGCUUAAACUAGCAAGGACAGGCUAAAAUUAGAGACUGUCCAGUUUGGCCUCCCUCCUGCUCUGUCCCCAUUACAAGAAGUAAAAGGGCCAGAGUGACAUAAAAGGGCCUGUGACACAGUGGAAGAAGCAAGGAGACUUUGUAAAAUGCUUUGUUGAGUGUCCCCCCACCAGCGACCAAAUUGGGAGGUAGUAUGUACUGGAGACAUGAUGCACAACAAUUAGGUUACAGCAGUCCAAAACUGCAAAUGUUUCAACGCUCCCCCUAUCAUCUCCGUCCCAGAGGCUAGCGCAGAGAAGAAGGUGAAAAAAACGCACUUGCAAUGAAAUGUUCUCUGAGCUCAUGCAGUCCUCCCGCACUGAAAGAGCUCAGCAGAAUGCAUGGAGGCAAGCAAUGUCAGAGUCCAGGAAAGCACAAAAUGAAUGUGAGGACAAGAGGGACGCAGGAGAGGAGAGGUGGCAGGAGCAAGAGGAGAGGUGGUGGGAUCAAGAUGAUAGGUGGUGGCAGCAUGAUGAGAGGAGGCAGGAUGCAAUGCUGAGGUUACUGGAGGAUCAAACUGAUAUGCUCCGGCAUAUGGCUGAGCUGCAGGAAAGGCAGCAGGAGCACAGAUCACCGCUGCAGCCCCUGUGUAACCAACCGCCCUCCUCCCCAAGUUCCAUAGCCUCCUCGCCCAGACACCCAAGAAUGCGGGGUGGGAGGAGGGUAAGGGGCUCCAGGCAGCCAACCACUCCACCCCAGAGGACUGCCCAAGCAACAGAAGGCUGCCAUUUAAUAAGUUUUGAAGUGCAGUGUGGUCUUGUCCUUCCCUCCUCCCCUCUUUCCCCCACCCCACCCAGUGCUUCCCUCCUUCCCCACCCCUCCCAGGCUACCUUGGCAGU
This is a long non-coding RNA of Caretta caretta (loggerhead turtle), 1022 nucleotides long. RefSeq lists it as uncharacterized. NCBI's taxonomy places the organism in Eukaryota, Metazoa, Chordata, Testudines, Cheloniidae. The record is from RefSeq and is a predicted model, not a curated record.